Molecule: ribosomal RNA, 1494 nt
Filed under: uncultured Glomeromycotina
Lineage: Eukaryota; Fungi; Glomeromycota
Description: eukaryotic LSU rRNA
Rfam family: Eukaryotic large subunit ribosomal RNA (bases 710-1494)
Source: RNAcentral
UCGCUCUUCAACGAGGAAUCCCUAGUAAGUACAAGUCACUAGCUUGUGCUGAUUACGUCCCUGCCCUUUGUACACACCGCCCGUCGCUACUACCGAUUGAAUGGCUUAGUGAGACCCUCGGAUUGACGUUCAUCGGCUGUAAAAGGCUUUUGUCUGUUGAAAAGUUGGUCAAACUUGGUCAUUUAGAGGAAGUAAAAGUCGUAACAAGGUUUCCGUAGGUGAACCUGCGGAAGGAUCAUUAUUGAACCUAAGCAAGCCUGGCAAUUUAUUUUGCAAGGUUUUGCGCGUAUUUAAAACCCCACACUUUUUGAAAAUAACGCAUUUUACUUGAAUAAAAGUAAUUAAAAGAUCACUUUCAACAACGGAUCUCUUGGUUCUCGCAUCGAUGAAGAACGUAGCGAAGUGCGAUAAGUAGUGUGAAUUGCAGAAUUCCGUGGAUCAUCGAAUUUUUGAACGCAAAUUGCACUCUCUGGUAUUCCGGAGAGUAUGCCUGUUUGAGGGUCAUUAAAAUCAAAAUCGAUUUGUUUACUUUUGGUAACGUUUCGGAAUUGGGUCAUCUUAAACCUUCAGGUUCAAGAGGCUUAAAAUUGAUCAUUUUUUGGUAUGAAUUAAGCGUAUUUAAGAUCACUUAUCACGCGCUUGACUCCUAUCGGAUGUUUAUUAGGCGUGACCAUGAUCAUGGUUUCGCGCCCAUAAUCUUUCCAUGAAAUGACCUCAAAUCAGGUAGGAAUACCCGCUGAACUUAAGCAUAUCAAUAAGCGGAGGAAAAGAAAAUAACAAUGAUUCCCCUAGUAACGGCGAGCGAAGAGGGAAUAGCUCAAAUUUUAAAUCUACCUGGUUUACCGGGUCGAGUUGUAAUUUGAAGAAAUGUUUUUAAUGUUCCGGGUUGGUUUAAAUCCUUUGGGAUAAGGUAUCAUGGAGGGUGAGAAUCCCGUGUAUAUCAACCGCUGGGAUGUUAUCAAUACAUUCUCUAAGAGUCGAGUUGUUUGGGAAUGCAGCUCUAAAUGGGUGGUAAAUUUCACCUAAUGCUAAAUAUAAGCGAGAGACCGAUAGCGAACAAGUACCGUGAGGGAAAGAUGAAAAGAACUUUGAAAAGAGAGUUAAAUAGUAUGUGAAAUUGUUGAAAGGGAAACGAUUGAAGUCAGUCAUGCUGGCGAGAAUCAACUUGGAAUAACUUUCAAGUGCACUUCUUCGCUUGGCAGGUUAGCGUCGAUUUUGAAGGUCAUAAAAUGAUUGGGGGAAGGUAGCUCUUUCGGGAGUGUUAUAGCCCUUGGUAAAUGUGAUGUUUGGGAUCGAGGUUUGCAACGGAUACCUUUUAGGCUAACCGCCUGGCCUCUGAUUCGAUGUCGGGUUAUAGACAGCAUGCUGACUAUGAUUUGAUUAUUGGUCAAAAGGUUAGAGCGAGUGUAAAUUCGUUAAGGACGCUGACGUAAUGGCUUUAAACGACCCGUCUUGAAACACGGACCAAGGAGUCUAACAUAUAUGCGAGUGUUC